AAGGGACCUAGCGUAGUUCGGAAUUACUGGGCUUAAAGAGUUCGUAGGUGGUUGAAAAAGUUGGUGGUGAAAUCCCAGAGCUUAACUCUGGAACUGCCAUCAAAACUUUUCAGCUAGAGUACGAUAGAGGAAAGCAGAAUUUCUAGUGUAGAGGUGAAAUUCGUAGAUAUUAGAAAGAAUACCAAUUGCGAAGGCAGCUUUCUGGAUCAUUACUGACACUGAGGAACGAAAGGAUGGGUAGCGAAGAGGAUUAGAUACCCUCGUAGUCCAUGCCGUAAACGAUGUGUGUUAGACGUUGGAAAUUUAUUUUCAGUGUCGCAGGGAAACCGAUAAACACACCGCCUGGGGAGUACGACCGCAAGGUUAAAACUCAAAUGAAUUGACGGGGACCCGCACAAGUAGUGGAGCAUGUGGUUUAAUUCGAAGAUACGCGCAGAACCUUACCAACACUUGACAUGUUCGUCGCGACUCUAAGAGAUUAGAGUUUUCGGUUCGGCCGGACGAAACACAGGUGCUGCAUGGCUGUCGUCAGCUCGUGUCGUGAGAUGUUGGGUUAAGUCCCGCAACGAGCGCAACCCUCACUUUUAGUUGCCAUCAUUAAGUUGGGCACUCUGAAAGAACUGCCAGUGAUAAGCCGGAGGAAGGUGGGGAUGACGUCAAGUCCUCAUGGCCCUUACGUGUUGGGCUACACACGUGCUACAAUGGCAUCUACAACAGGAAGCAAUACGGCAACGUUAAGCAAAUCCCGAAAAGAUGCCUCAGUUCGGAUUGCACUCUGCAACUCGAGUGCAUGAAGCUGGAAUUACUAGUAACCGUGGAUCAGCGUGCCACGGUGAAUGCGUUCCCGGGUCUUGUACACACCGCCCGUCACACCAUGGGAGUUGGUUCUACCUUAAGGCAAGGUUUUAAACCCUUGACCACGGUAUAGUCAGCGACUGGGGUGAAGUCGUAACAAGGUAGCCGUAGGGGAACCUGCGGCUGGAUUACCUCCUUUCUAAGGAUGAGUGAAAGUAAAAUUUCACUCUAAAUAAUAUACAUCGGUAAUGUUGACCGUCCUCAUUUCUCUUCUUAAAGUAAUGUUUCCUUCUUGUAGGGCCGGUAGCUCAGUUGGUUAGAGCACACCCUUGAUAAGGGUGGGGUCGAAAGUUCGAGUCUUUCUCGGCCCACCAAAAACCUAAAUGGGGGAUUAGCUCAUCUGGGAGAGCGCCUGAUUUGCAUUCAGGAGGUAGCAGGUUCGAUCCCUGUAUCCUCCACCAGGAAACAUUUAGUUAUUAAAACUGUAAAUAAAAAUAAUUUAUAUCAAUAUCUAUAUCCGAACAUUAAAAGUUAUUAUUUAAUGUUCAAAAUAAAAAUUUGAUCACAACAUAGUUUAAUUUUCUUUAAAAAGAAUUUUUUUCUGUGCAUAAAUCAAGCGUUUAAGGGCGUGUAGUGGAUGCCUUGGCACUGAAAGCCGAUGAAGGACGUGAUAUACUGCGAUAAGUUUCGGGGAGCUGUAUGUAAGCUUUGAUCCGAAAAUUU
Molecule: small RNA, 1518 nt
Filed under: uncultured Arctic sea ice bacterium
Lineage: Bacteria
Description: bacterial SSU rRNA
Rfam family: Bacterial small subunit ribosomal RNA (bases 1-994)
Source: RNAcentral